RNAcentral lists this transfer RNA (86 nucleotides) under Paracoccaceae bacterium. RNAcentral's name for it is "Rhodobacteraceae bacterium (freshwater metagenome) tRNA-Leu". It matches the Rfam family "tRNA". Rfam says of the family: Transfer RNA (tRNA) molecules are approximately 80 nucleotides in length. Their secondary structure includes four short double-helical elements and three loops (D, anti-codon, and T loops). The record is from RNAcentral. Lineage: Bacteria; Pseudomonadati; Pseudomonadota; Alphaproteobacteria; Rhodobacterales; Paracoccaceae.
GCCCGAGUGGCGGAAUGGUAGACGCAGUGGAUUCAAAAUCCACCGGUAGUGAUACCGUGCCGGUUCGAGUCCGGCUUCGGGCACCA